Molecule: RNA transcript, 3979 nt
Organism: Oncorhynchus keta (chum salmon)
Lineage: Eukaryota; Metazoa; Chordata; Actinopteri; Salmoniformes; Salmonidae
Gene name: liprin-beta-1-like
Exons: 26
Source: RefSeq, a predicted model, not a curated record
CACUAUGGAGUAGUCUGUGAUUGGCCUUGGUUGGCGCAUGCGCAGUGGGAUAUACGGCAAAGUUGGGAAUUCGCCAUGAAGCUUUAUCAAAAGGUGUUGCGUACGGCUCGAGAGAGCACUGGAAAGUGAACUUUUGGAAUAGCGUUAAGGUCGCCCUUCAAGAAGUUGACGCCUGUGAAGCUAUUCUUUUUGAAUUGGAUCCACAGUGGGGGGGUGAAGAUGAUGUCCGACGCCAGCGAGAUGUUGGCAGCCGCCUUGGAGCAAAUGGAUGGGAUCAUAGCAGGCUCCAAGGCCAUGGACUACUCCAAUGGGCUGUUUGACUGCCAGUCGCCCACCUCUCCCUUCCUGGGAAGCCUGCGGGCGCUGCACCUGCUGGAGGACCUGCGGGCGGCGCUGGAGAUGAUGGACCAGGAUGAGAGGGAGGGCCUCCGCUGCCAGGUCCCUGACACCACCGCCGACGGCCUAGUGGAGUGGCUGCAGCAGGGACAACUGACCAACGGAAAUGGCUCCGCCAUGAUCUACCAGGAACGGCUGUCACGGGUGGAGAGCGAUAAGGAGUGUCUCGUCCUUCAGGUGAGUGUUCUCUCAGACCAGGUGGAGGUGCAGGGGGAGAAGAUCAGGGAUCUGGACAUGUGUCUGGAGGAACAUAGAGAGAAACUCGACGCCACUGAAGAAACUCUGCAGCAGGAGCUGUUGAGCAGGUCGACCCUGGAGACCCAGAAGCUGGAGCUGAUGACCGAGGUGUCCAGUCUGAAACUGAAGCUGACCACUGUGGCGAGAGAUCUCAGGGAUAGUGAGGGGUUGUACCAGGAAGUCAAUGACCUGCGGUUCAGGGUGACCGAUAUGGAGAAUGAAAGACUGCAGUGUGAGAAGAAACUUAAAUCCACCAAAGAGGAACUGCAGACUCUUCAGAGGCAGCUGGAGGAGCUGAGGAGGCUAAGAGACCAGGCUACACAGGGAGUGCUGACCUCAGACAGAACAGAUGGAGAGAAAGAUGUGGAUGUGCUGAGGAUGAAGAGGGCCAUGGAGUCCCUGACGUCAGCUAACAAUGACAAGGACCGGCGGAUCCAGGAGCUUCAGGAGUCUAUCACACGGUACAAGAAGGUCCAGGACUUGGUGAAAGACACACUGAAUGAAGACGAUUACGAUGACAUCCAGGAUGACAGAUCCCCCUCCAUUCAGGUCGCCAUGGAUACAGACCGGGCCACCCUGGCAGUUGGGGAGGAGACAGGAAGGAGCUGUGACGAGAUUCCAUCUAUUGCAGUGUUAUCAGAGCUGGAGCAGGAUAGCCUGAUACAGGAACCAGACAUAGACAGUCCACCAGAAGUCCCACCACAUUCAGCAGGUAGCCUGGGCCACAUAAACAGCAACACAGAGCAGACCACAGUUGAGGAGCCCAGCCCCCCAUCCACCUCCCCAUCAAACCCCAGCAGUAAUGAAAGCUUUGGGACCAAGAAGGCCCGCUCCUCCUUUGGACGUGGUUUCUUCAAGAUGCGUGGAGGCAAGAGGACGUCCAGUGCCCCAAAUCUGGAUCGCAGCCGGAGUGCGAGUGCGCCUACGUUGGCUGAGACAGAGUGUAGGGGCACAGACCACUUGGACUUGGCUGGUGCCCCGCCACACAAACCUCAGGGAGGAGACAGCAGCCAGACCCUACCUUCCUCACCAGAGGCCAAGAAGAAGUCCAGAGGCUUUAUGAAGUUCUUAGGCAGGCUGAAGAGAAGUCACUCCACCUCGCUAGACCUGGAGGAGACUGAGUUCAGGAGGGGAGGAGUCAGAGCCACGGCCGGCCCCCGACUGGGCUGGUCACGUGACCUGCAGCACAGCGCCGAUGAUGUGGACGCUCCCUUUGCGCAGUGGAGUAAGGAGCAGGUGUGUGUGUGGUUGCAGGAGCAGGGCCUGGGGCUGCACGUGGCUCAAGCCCAGCAGUGGAUCCGCUCAGGAUUCACCCUGCUGCAGGCCUCCCAGCAUGACCUGGAGAAGGAGUUGGGGAUCAAACAGCCCCUCCACAGGAAGAAGCUGCAGCUGGCUCUCCAGGCACUGGGAUCAGAGGAGGAUGUCAGCAAGGCCAAACUGGACCACAACUGGGUGACCAGAUGGCUUGAUGAUAUUGGUCUGCCACAGUAUAAGAGCCAGUUUGAUGAGGGGAGGGUCGAUGGACGAAUGCUACACUACAUGACUGUGGAUGACCUGCUGUCUCUUAAGGUGGGCAGUGUUCUCCACCACCUCAGCAUCAAGAGAGCCAUCCAGGUCCUCCGGCUCAACUUCUACGAGCCCAACUGCCUCCGCCGACGGCCCUCUGACGAGAACAACAUCACACCAGGGAGAUCUCCCAGUGGACCAAUCACAGAGUGAUGGAGUGGCUGAGAUCAGUGGACCUGGCUGAGUACGCGCCUAACCUGAGGGGCAGCGGUGUUCACGGGGGGGUCAUGGUGCUGGAGCCUCGCUUCAACGUGGAGUCCCUAGCCCUCCUGCUCAACAUCCCUCCCAACAAGACCCUGCUGCGCCGCCACCUGGCCACCCACUUCCACCUGCUCAUCGGCUCCGCUGCCCAGCGCAGCAAACAGGAGUGUCUGGAGAACCCUGACUACACCCUGCUCACUGCCACCGCCAAGGUCAAGCCCAGAAGGCUGCCGUUCGGUGGCUUCGGGACCCUGCGUAAGAAGCGCCAUGAGGACAGCGAGGAGUACGUGUGCCCCAUGGACGUGGAGAUGCCCAAGAACAGCAGCUUCCAGGGGGGCCUGAGGAUCUACGAGGACAACCUGGACCAGAUGGAGGACUCUGAAGGGGCUGUGAGGCAGAUAGGAGCAUUUUCUGAGGAAAUCGACAACCUGACGAGCAUGCUGAAGGAGGAUGAAUUCUUCAGCGAGGUCUCCUUUCGCUCCCCCGAGGCCAGCGUCACCGAUGACGACUCCAACGUGUGAGGGAGGGUUCCCGCCAAUUAAAUGUAUUAACUUUAGAUGACUGACAGGGGGUGCUGUUUUGCAGCCACCACACAGCCAUUUUGUUACUCCUCAAUUGUCAAAAACAAAUGUAGACAUUAAAUCAUUUCUACAGCUUCUAAAAUCAUUUUUUUACAAGUAUAUUCUAUUAGACACCUGUUAAUGCAUACUUUGAAAUGUGUAAAAAUACAAGGGAGUACUAAUGACUGUCCCCACAACAACAAAUAAAUGCAUGUCAUUUUGUCCUUUAAACAUUUGAAGUGCUGUAGAAUUCAAGUCAUUCCUAUGGAGGAGUGCUCCUUCUGAGGAGCACCAAUAUGGCUGACGGGUGGCUUCAAAGCCUCCCAUUGGCCGUUACAUAGCAUCAGCAAUCCAGGGUUAAUACACAUCAUUGGCCCCAGCUGGCGUCACCAUGCAACCCCCCUUUACACACACACACCUUGAUAAGCUGUCUUCUACAACCUGAGACCACCUAUGCCCUUACGUCGUUGUCGUUUCAGCAAUUUACUAUCUCUUGCUCUGCAUUCCCAAGUGAAGUUACACAUGUGUAUUUAUUUAAGUUGUUGAAAUGUAGCGCAUGACUUGAGAUUUCAACAUGGGAGCAUUUACUUUAUACUUCCAUACUUGUGUUACAGAACUGUUUUUCUAUAUAUUUGUUUGAAUAUUUACAUGGUAUGCCAUUGUCCUGACUUAUUUUUGGAACCCUCACACCUAUUAGCAAUUAUAACCUAAAAGAUUGGUCAAGUCGCAGUGGGACACUUAGACUGCAAUGUUUUGACUUUAAUCCCUAAUUUCCUCUCCAUGUUCUCAUUUGAUGCUCCUGUUUGUGUCCCAAAGUAAUUCAAUAUUAUCACGUUGGUUUGUCCUGCCAUGUGGAAUUUUAGGAACAUGGAAGCCCAAUGUUCUAGAAUGUAAACAUCACCAGAAAGCAAUGAUAUUGUUUUGCAAGCCUUAACCAUAUCAGUGAACACAAUGUAAUGUACUGUGUACUGUUUCUAUGCAUCUUUUUGUGAAUUGUCAAUAAAAACAUGGUAAAAUGA